GAGACCCAGGGAAGGUUUGCGCUGUUUGGGAUUAAUUGAGAAUAAUUAACACUGGAGACUGUUAAUCACUACUUUGCUGCUCUCGUACUCCUUUCGGGUCUGCGGCGACUGCCUCUCUCGCUCCGGCAGCCGGCGCGGGUGGGUUCGCUGGUGAAAGUGAAGACGUAGCGGUAGCUGUCACCCAGUUCGGCUGUACUUUUUUAAACGCUUGCAUAUUGUUUGAUUACUAAUUCGAGUUAAUAUGAUCUUUAUGGCAACAUAACAGUGGAUAAUUGGCCUUUUUUUCUGAACAACAAUGUAAAUCACAAUCGCUUUAUUAUUUAAUAACGUCAAACGCUUCGUUGGAUUGGCCCCGACCGAGAAGACCUUUUCUUUCUAGACAGUGUUGUGGAGGAAGAACAAUGAAGAUCUAAUUGUGGAGAUUUCAUAAGUUGGCUCCCGUAAAUGAACAGCUUAGAUAUGGAAGUUCCAGCAGAUGUGGGCACUAUUCGCUGUGGAAACUCUAUCCCCAACCCCCAAUGCACACAGCCCAAACACUCUAUUGGAGGUUUUUUGUGGCGGCGGUGGUGGUGGUGGUCCUCAGAUCCUAGCAACCACCUAAAUCUUGCAGUAACAAUUAGAGCUUUUAUCGGGCUUGCUCUUCAGCCCUUUAUAUUGCCGAUUUAGCAUUAAGGCAUUGAGUCCACAUACCAAAUUAGCGCAACUCCCAAAGAGCCACAACCACUAAUGCGCCCCUUAAGUUCCUGGUUGUUGGACACCUAGAGCACCGGCCUAGGGCUUUUUAAAAGUCUUACUUUGUUUUGAUUUGAUUUUUAAAACGGAAUCACCCACGCAGUAUCUAGGUCUAGUAAUAUACUUUUUCAGGAAGAGUUUUGCCAGGGGCACGAGCCAUUAUUUUUCUGACGCCUGUCAGAGCAGACACCUAGAGACCCCGCAAAUGCAGACGGCAAUGCUUGGAAGGAAUAGGUCUCCGCUGCCCAAAUGAAAGAUGAAUCACAUUUGCCCCCAAAGCCUGAAUUCUAACGGUUCUCUAUGGCGGCUCUUGCCGUCGCUGGUGGACUGCUAUCUCUGGGGUCUUAAGACUUCGGAGUUCUUCGCCAAUGCGGAACCCUCAACACUUGGAAUUCGGGUCAAGGAGAGAGACUCCGAGUCUACAGCAGGUUUUGUUUUUGCGUGUGCCCGCCUCUCCAUUUUAUUCAACUUCUCCUGCCCGUCGGGAGGCAGAACAAUUCGCUCCCCCCAACCCCCCGCCUGCCUCACUUCAAAGAUAAACACGAGGUGCGAAAUGCUUCGCCUGCACACGCGUCCUCGGGGCCCCUCUCCCCUUACCCCUAGCGCACCGACUGUGCAGCUGUCCUCCGCCCAGACCUGGGUGGAGACACCCCCCUUCUCUUCCCACCCGCAUUUUAAAGCCAUCACAUCGACGGUUCUAGAGUCACGUUCACAUUUUCGGCUCCCUUCCAAUUUCUUUCUGGCCCACUCUCCCCCUUUAAGACCUAAAAAGUCACAAGGGGGAAGAGUUGAGAAAUUGAGAGGAAGGCAGUGGAUUUUCAAAAGUUAUCUCCACCCCACCUACAUCCCCCCCCCCGCCCUGUUAAAAGUGUAUUUUACCACAGGAGUGCAUUAGGAAACUUUCCCUAACAGGACUUGGGCUCAGUGUUAUUCUUCUCCAGGGGCCUGCUGGCCUCCCCGCCCCCGCUGGACAAUGCGCGCUUUGAGGCUCGGUGGCCUGCAGGCAGCGGGAGACGAGGGGACUAGGCGGCCUUCCUCCAAGGGGCCCGCAGCUGGGGGAGCGUCGGGCAGGGAGCAGGGCCGGGGAGGCGGGCCACGCAGGAAGAAAAACCAUAAAAGCACAAUUUUCUUCCCCCUACCCCUCCACAGAGGCCGGCUUUGAGGAUGUGGGGGGCAGGGCGGCUGGGGAGGGGGAUGUGAGAGAUUUUGCGUUUUGUUUCUUUCUUAUCCUCCCCCCUCCCCAACCCAAAUAUUUUAUUUCGACCUAGAAUUAUGCAGCCUAGGUUUGCCAACCCCCUCGCUUUCAGUCUUGGAUACCUAGUCUCUGGUUAGUAGUAUCUCACCCCGGGUCUUUAACGCUCACACAGACCCCGGCACUCACUUCUUGCCCAGCCUGGCUUCACAAUUCCAACCAGCCCCUCCCUCCCCGCUCGGGGUGCCGAGCCCUAGACUGGGAAAAAACCCUGGCCAGGCACCCUGGGACGCUACUUUCUAGUUUGGGGGAGGGGGUAGGUUCUCCUAGAGAGAAUAUCACUACGCUCCCCUCCAGGCAGCCUCAGGGCAGGAGCUCUGGGAUCAGCAGAAGCUCUCGGAGGGUCACCACACUGGUGGGAGCGUUUGUCUGAUAUUUUAAAACUUAUACCAAAAGGGGCUCCAGGGCCACGUGCUGUGCCUUCGAAAAGCCGCCGCGGGCCCUGGCUUUCAUAGCCACGGAAGCCGGGCUGGCCUGGAGCGGCUGCGGAAGUCACCGGCCGACGUUAGGGGCCCGCGCUGCGCCGCAGGUCUGGCCGUAGAGCUGAGUGAAGCGAAUUAUCUGGAGCGUGUUUGAUCUCGGGCUGCGUAGUCAGCUUCCGCUUUAUUUGUUUGUUUGUAAUCUCAUAUUUAGCAAGCUGGGACUGUGGCAGCAACGGAGGAAGGAAGGGAUGGAGGAGGGGGCUUCUCGGUAACCACACCCCUUCCUAAUGAGUUAAUUUCCAUAUUUGCGCCUCCCGCAUCUAGCGCCCUCUUUUCCCCGACGCUACGGUGCUGUGGCGUCUUGCGCAGUGCGGACGCCUCCACUCUAGACUGAAGUGAAAAAGCUCGCAGUGGGAGCAGAAAAUUGGUCUAUUGAUAACAUUCGCUCUGAGUGUUGGUUGAUCUUGGCAUCACCGGCACGGGGUUGUUCCCCCCGCCCCAAAUGGGGCGCACACGGAUUGCCGAGGGCUCGAAGACACCCAUGCAGGCAGCAAACAGAAAACGACUUUCCUGCCUUUUCCGCUGCUCCAGCUGUCCGAUCCCCACUUCCCUUUCUUUUUACCCAACUCCAGGUUUUCUCCCUUCUCUCUCUCUCCUCUUCCUCGCUGGCGCGCGCGCGCGCGCGCUCUCUCUCUCUCUCUCUCUCUGUCUCGCGCGCGCGCGCGCGCUCUCUCUCUCUCGGUGAGGGCACUGAGGGUAGGGUCGCUUAGAAAGCGCGGGGGAUGGGGAGGGGGCAUGUAACCCCAAACGAAUGAAUCAAAAGUGGAAGUUUCAAAGUACAUUCCCAGUCCUGAGAAAUAUAAUGUUAUCUUGCACUCGAGGGAGUGUGCCGGCCCGAGUAUAUGUACGUAAGAGAGAGAAGCAGAAAAUCUGAGGUUGUGAGAUUUGUCUGUAGUCUGAGUCGGUUAGAAGUUAGGGCGAAGACUGAACUUUUGGAGGACCCUCAGUAGAAAACUCCAGGCGGGUUUCAGCUGUUUCUAGCCUGGUUUCCUACACAUUUCUGUGGUGAUUCUGCUCAGGAAAUUGGAGAAACAGGCUUUUACCAUUGCUCACUCUCCCCUUACCCCUUCCACAACACCCUCCUCACUUUGCCGCGCGCGAACUAGGGUGUGGGCUCGGGCUUGAGCUCCAAAAUAGCAUGCUUGUCAAUUGCGAGCUGAGGCAGUAUCAAAGUGAACUGUCCCAAGUAACGCUUGUCUAGAAGCUGGGAAGAAGCUUAAGCAGCUCGCUUUAAUGAUGAUUUGUAGCUCGGCGAGGGGCACGGACAGCAAACACCCCGCAGGUGUGUGCCGUAACACCACCAUCCGGACUUGAAUGUAGAUUACUCUGGCGAUCGUUUGAUCGGCCCUUUGAAACCCUUUACAAUUGCCUGUGACGAACGGCCAGUCUCAGUUUUUCUCUGAAUAAUGCCUGGAGGGUAAGUCCUCCGGGCUUUUAAAGAGCUCCAGUAUUUUUUUUUUUUUUUUAAAAAAAAAAAAAAAAUUCGCAUCACUCAAGCUGUUCAGUACUUAAUGACUAUUACCAUUGCUGUCUUACAUAUGUGUAAUAAAACACAUAUGAAAACAAAGUUAUUAAUUUCAUUUUCUUUAGUUCCAAACUGCCCUGCCCAUUUAUGGAUGUUUGUGUGUUUAUUAUAAACAUGCGUCAUCAUUAUUAUUAAUGUCAUUGUUAAUCUUUAUGCCUUCUGUAUUCUCUCUGAAUUAUAUCUAUUUGGGCAAGUGUGAGUUUAACUUAAACAUUUAGGCUUUCCAAAGUAAAACUCUAUAGUUUAACCCCCUCAACAUGUUCCUACCAACCCCCACCACCAAAAUGAAAAAGGUAGUGCUGUUGAACCUUUAAUAUUUACUUAGAAUGUUUACAUAAAGGGAGGAAAAUGAACUUUUGUCUGAAAUGUGCAACAAGCGGCACUUUGAUUUCAUAAAAUAAGUGUCAACAAUUGCAAGAGCUUAUCAAACUAGGGCAGGGGGUGGAGGGUGGGAGUGCAGUUAAAUUAAAGGCCCAUUCCUGCCACUUCAGACUACAAAGGGUUACACAUAAAUAAGUACCACAUUUGCCUACUGCAAAAGUUUUCUCCGUGCUUUCUAAGUCACAACAGGGGAGGGGGAAAGCUGUCGUUUAUUAUCCAGCUCUGGGCAGGAGCAGACCCCAGUACCACGAGGCUCUUAGCUUUGGCCAGCAGAAGAGGGGUAGCCUUUCAACAGCAGCCCCCUUUGUUCUCCCGAUCUCUUUCCCAAUUUCAAGCUUCACUUGCACAUCCCAAGUUUGUGUGUUAAUGACGCUAUUACCAUCUGGCUCGCCCUACUUUCCAAAAGAUAUAAAUCUCCUAGCUCCAUUGCCCGCAUUAUCAUUUAAGUGCCACCAUAGCCAGAAGAAAAAGAUGCUUUCAAGACUCCAGAUUCUCUUGCACUGACUACCCCUGGCAUGACUCUUCCACUAUAUUUAUAGACUAUACAUUGGGUGUGGGAGAGCUCCUUGAGAGACCUGAUUUCUCAAGAGCUGUCCCUCCAAGCCAAGGAAGACAUGCUACUGGGUGAAAGAAGGGCUUCAAAUAAAUUUUCCCUUAAAAUAUUUCUGUUUUGUUUGCAGCAGGCAGAGUGUAUGCCUCAACAUAGUUUUAUGUGCCUGUGCCUUCCUUUCUCCCACUAAGCUUUGUAAAAAGUCACGGUGCAACUCCUAGACAUUCAAGAUGUGCCACUCUUCAAACCCUAUUUUGAGCGGGAGAAUAGAUUGAUCUCUUUAUGGGAGUGGUGACAGGAGGGAAGGAGGGGAAAAAAAGCCCCUUGAGGCAACUUUUGGGAGCUGGGCCAACUGCAUCCCUUCCCUAACCCCUCACUUUUAUAGUGCCUGCAUAGAUGUGUAGGUGUUGUGGGAUAGACACACUUUGAGCUCUAGCUCUAGAUCCACCUCUUCUUUCCUGGGUAAUUAGUGAUUUGCGUGUUUUGAGCACAAAAGCUGAGAAACUAUAACAAAAAGAGUUGGGCUGGCUUGUGAGUGGCUCUACAAUGACUUCAUUUAUCUGGCCAGGUUUGAGUGAAUAGAGCAGAGCAGAGUCUGCCUCUAAGCGUGUGGGGUUUAUAUUCAGGCCGCUAGCUGAUUUGAAUGGCUUAUUUCCCUUUGAGGGCUUCUGCUAUUUGUGGCCCUAGACGGCCACAUCCAGGUGUAUCUCUCUCCUUGCAACACUCUCUCCUUCCCAAUGCUAUCUUCACACGAGGCCAGUUCCACUAAGAUAAACCAACCAACCCCACAGGUCGGAAGUGGAAUUGGAAAGGUGAACUUCCCAGGUUCCUAAGACAAGUUCUUAAAAUCAUCAAGAUUUAAGCAGACCCCUCUCUCUGACGC
Molecule: long non-coding RNA, 5805 nt
Filed under: Sus scrofa (pig)
Lineage: Eukaryota; Metazoa; Chordata; Mammalia; Artiodactyla; Suidae
Description: lncRNA (ENSSSCG00015019864.1)
Source: RNAcentral